Molecule: ribosomal RNA, 1289 nt
Filed under: Staphylococcus pseudintermedius
Lineage: Bacteria; Bacillati; Bacillota; Bacilli; Caryophanales; Staphylococcaceae
Description: bacterial SSU rRNA
Rfam family: Bacterial small subunit ribosomal RNA
Source: RNAcentral
GGGGUAACGGCCUACCAAGGCGACGAUACGUAGCCGACCUGAGAGGGUGAUCGGCCACACUGGAACUGAGACACGGUCCAGACUCCUACGGGAGGCAGCAGUAGGGAAUCUUCCGCAAUGGGCGAAAGCCUGACGGAGCAACGCCGCGUGAGUGAUGAAGGUCUUCGGAUCGUAAAGCUCUGUUGUUAGGGAAGAACAAAUGUGUAAGUAACUGUGCACAUCUUGACGGUACCUAACCAGAAAGCCACGGCUAACUACGUGCCAGCAGCCGCGGUAAUACGUAGGUGGCAAGCGUUAUCCGGAAUUAUUGGGCGUAAAGCGCGCGUAGGCGGUUUUUUAAGUCUGAUGUGAAAGCCCACGGCUCAACCGUGGAGGGUCAUUGGAAACUGGAAAACUUGAGUGCAGAAGAGGAAAGUGGAAUUCCAUGUGUAGCGGUGAAAUGCGCAGAGAUAUGGAGGAACACCAGUGGCGAAGGCGGCUUUCUGGUCUGCAACUGACGCUGAUGUGCGAAAGCGUGGGGAUCAAACAGGAUUAGAUACCCUGGUAGUCCACGCCGUAAACGAUGAGUGCUAAGUGUUAGGGGGUUUCCGCCCCUUAGUGCUGCAGCUAACGCAUUAAGCACUCCGCCUGGGGAGUACGGUCGCAAGACUGAAACUCAAAGGAAUUGACGGGGACCCGCACAAGCGGUGGAGCAUGUGGUUUAAUUCGAAGCAACGCGAAGAACCUUACCAAAUCUUGACAUCCUUUGACCGCUCUAGAGAUAGAGUUUUCCUCUUCGGAGGACAAAGUGACAGGUGGUGCAUGGUUGUCGUCAGCUCGUGUCGUGAGAUGUUGGGUUAAGUCCCGCAACGAGCGCAACCCUUGAACUUAGUUGCCAUCAUUCAGUUGGGCACUCUAAGUUGACUGCCGGUGACAAACCGGAGGAAGGUGGGGAUGACGUCAAAUCAUCAUGCCCCUUAUGAUUUGGGCUACACACGUGCUACAAUGGACAAUACAAAGGGCAGCGAAACCGCGAGGUCAAGCAAAUCCCAUAAAGUUGUUCUCAGUUCGGAUUGUAGUCUGCAACUCGACUACAUGAAGCUGGAAUCGCUAGUAAUCGUAGAUCAGCAUGCUACGGUGAAUACGUUCCCGGGUCUUGUACACACCGCCCGUCACACCACGAGAGUUUGUAACACCCGAAGCCGGUGGAGUAACCAUUUUGGAGCUAGCCGUCGAAGGUGGGACAAAUGAUUGGGGUGAAGUCGUAACAAGGUAGCCGUAUCGGAAGGUGCGGCUGGAUCACCUCCUUU